Molecule: ribosomal RNA, 497 nt
Filed under: uncultured bacterium
Lineage: Bacteria
Description: partial 16S ribosomal RNA
Rfam family: Bacterial small subunit ribosomal RNA
Source: RNAcentral
GAUGAACGCUGGCGGCGUGCCUAAUACAUGCAAGUCGAGCGAACGGACGAGAAGCUUGCUUCUCUGAUGUUAGCGGCGGACGGGCGAGUAACACGUGGAUAACCUACCUAUAAGACUGGGAUAACUUCGGGAAACCGGAGCUAAUACCGGAUAAUAUUUUGAACCGCAUGGUUCAAAAGUGAAAGAAGGUCUUGCUGUCACUUAUAGAUGGCUCAGCGCUGCAUUAGCUAGUUGGUAAGGUAACGGCUUACCAAGGCAACGAUGCAUAGCCGACCUGAGAGGGUGAUCGGCCACACUGGAACGGAGACACGUUCCAGACCCCGACGGGAGGCAGCAGUAGGGAAUCUUCCGCAAUGGACGAAAGCCUGACGGAGCAACGCCGCGUGAGUGAUGAAGGUCUUCUGAUCGUAAAGCUCUGUUAUUAGUGAAGAACAUAUGUGUAAGUAACUGUGCACAUCUUGACGGUACCUAAUCAGAAAGCCACGGCUAACUACGUG